UUUUCCGGUUGAUCCUGCCGGACCUGACUGCUAUCGGACUGAUACUAAGCCAUGCGAGUCAUUGUAGCAAUACAAGGCAGACGGCUCAGUAACGCGUAGUCAAUCUACCCUAUGGACGGGAAUAACCUCGGGAAACUGAGAAUAAUGCCCGGUAGAACAUUAUGCCUGGAAUGGUUUAUGUUUCAAAUGAUUUAUCGCCAUAGGAUGGGACUGCGGCCUAUCAGUUUGUUGGUGAGGUAAUGGCCCACCAAGACUAUUACAGGUACGGGCUCUGAGAGGAGUAGCCCGGAGAUGGGUACUGAGACACGGACCCAGGCCCUAUGGGGCGCAGCAGGCGAGAAAACUUUGCAAUGUGCGAAAGCACGACAAGGUUAAUCCGAGUGGUUUCUGCUAAAGAAACCUUUUGUCAGUCCUAGAAACACUAACGAAUAAGGGGUGGGCAAGUUCUGGUGUCAGCCGCCGCGGUAAAACCAGCACCUCAAGUGGUCAGGAUGAUUAUUGGGCCUAAAGCAUCCGUAGCUCGUUUUGUAAGUUUUCGGUUAAAUCCAUGCGCUUAACGUAUGGGCUGCCGGGAAUACUGCAUAACUAGGAAGUGGGAGAGGUAGACGGUACUCGGGAGGAAGGGGUAAAAUCCUUUGAUCUCUUGAUGACCACCUGUGGCGAAAGCGGUCUACCAGAACACGUUCGACGGUGAGGGAUGAAAGCUGGGGGAGCAAACCGGAUUAGAUACCCGGGUAGUCCCAGCUGUAAACUAUGCAAACUCAGUGAUGCAUUGGCUUAUGGCCAAUGCAGUGCUGCAGGGAAGCCGUUAAGUUUGCCGCCUGGGAAGUACGUACGCAAGUAUGAAACUUAAAGGAAUUGGCGGGGGAGCAC
RNAcentral lists this ribosomal RNA (873 nucleotides) under uncultured archaeon. RNAcentral's name for it is "bacterial SSU rRNA". It matches the Rfam family "Archaeal small subunit ribosomal RNA", at positions 1 to 879 of the family's 1478-position model. The record is from RNAcentral.